Salvia splendens (bonfire salvia) is the source of this 1267-nucleotide long non-coding RNA. RefSeq lists it as uncharacterized. The transcript has 3 exons. The record is from RefSeq and is a predicted model, not a curated record. NCBI's taxonomy places the organism in Eukaryota, Viridiplantae, Streptophyta, Magnoliopsida, Lamiales, Lamiaceae.
GAAAAAUGGAAAUGAGAGUGUAUAUUUAUAAAGUAAUUUAAACUUAAAAAAAAAAAAAAAAAAUUCCCGCGGCCCGCUGCAGUGGAGGGCCGCGGCUCCCACGGCUCAGCCGCGUGAAGGCCGCGGCCGCGGCUCACCCUCGGCUCCCGGCCCUGCGCCCCGGCUCUCGGCUCUCUGCAAUGGGGGGCCGCGCACCGAGCCGCGGGCCGCGGCUCCCCCAUUGUGGACACUCUAAGAUGCUCCUUGGGCAGCCACCCUACAAGGAAAAAUUUACACAAGAUUAGCAUGAGAUUAAAGUACAAAGAAAAGUCAUGAGAAAGAGAUGUGAUACAAGAAUGCAAGGUCUCGAAGUAAACAACACAUAGGCUGCCAUAAGGAUGAUUUGGGGUUGCCAAAGAUCUCACCAAAUGGAAAUAGAACCAUUUUGAACAAAGUCUCAUGACCUCAGCAACAAGCACAAAUAAGGAAACUGUUCUGUCCCUCCACAAGAGCCGAGGAAGUAGGGAAAUUGCCAAGGGAACAGUCCCCAAAACUUACACCAUUUUGGAGUAAACCACAAUAUCACAAAGCUCUAAAGCAAGCUGAGAUUUUAACCCGAAAUAGCAUAUCACUUUCCAAGGAUUUCAGGCAAGAUGCCAAGGCUUGAGAUGUAUAUAAACAGCCCUCAUCUCCCUUCUCCUCCCAACGAUUCGGCACCAUAAAUUUACUCAAAUUCAAGGAGUGCAGCAAGGAGUGGAGGAGGAGCAAGGGGAAGUCUUGAGGCAAGGAUCAGCCCCGUACCGAGAGGGAUCACGAGCGAGAUCCAGUAUAACGAAGAGAGGUCGACCUUUAAAAAGCCAACCAACCCAGGCUGCAACAGCGAAGCAGCCUAGAUUGGACAUUGACGAAGUAGUCGAUGAUGUUAUUCCAAUUGUGAUUGCGCACAAAUUCCGGGAGAGAUUGACUGAGCAAAGGGCCGAGACGAGUACCGCUCAUGAAGAAGAAGAGCAGAGGAAACCGAGGGGGAAGAAAGUCGACCAUCUCUAUUGUCGACGGACCCCAUCCAAGUUCCUUAAUUGUAUGAAAAACCUAACUCCACGACAGAAGGAAGCCGUUCGAGAACUGGGUUUCGGAGCUAUCCUGCAUUUCAAUAUAAAGGAAAUUCCAGGAUAUCUAGCCUAAUGGGUUCUAAACACAUUUAAUCUAGCCGACUUGUGACUUGGUAUGUUUUGAACAAUAUGUAGGGUGCUUCUUGCAAACAGAAUCAUAUUUUUGUAUUAGUGUAUGA